Molecule: ribosomal RNA, 301 nt
Filed under: uncultured bacterium
Lineage: Bacteria
Description: partial 16S ribosomal RNA
Rfam family: Bacterial small subunit ribosomal RNA
Source: RNAcentral
CAGCAGCCGCGGGAAUACGUAGGGUGCGAGCGUCAAUCGGAAUUACUGGGCGUAAAGCGUGCGCAGGCGGUUCGUUAAGACAGAUGUGAAAUCCCCGGGCUUAACCUGGGAACUGCAUUUGUGACUGGCGAGCUAGAGUAUGGCAGAGGGGGGUAGAAUUCCACGUGUAGCAGUGAAAUGCGUAGAGAUGUGGAGGAAUACCGAUGGCGAAGGCAGCCCCCUGGGCCAAUACUGACGCUCAUGCACGAAAGCGUGGGGAGCAAACAGGAUUAGAUACCCCAGUAGUCCCUGUCUCUUAUAC